CAGUCGCCACGGGAAUACGAAGGGGGCUAGCGUUGCUCGGAAUGACUGGGCGUAAAGGGCGCGUAGGCGGAUUGCGCAGUCAGAUGUGAAAUUCCUGGGCUUAACCUGGGGGCUGCAUUUGAGACGCGUAGUCUAGAGUGUGAAAGAGGGUCGUGGAAUUCCCAGUGUAGAGGUGAAAUUCGUAGAUAUUCGGAAGAACACCAGUGGCGAAGGCGACUCACUGGCCCGUUACUGACGCUGAGGCGCGAAAGCGUGGGGAGCAAACAGGAUUAGAUACCCCAGUAGUCCCUGUCUCUUAUAC
This 301-nucleotide ribosomal RNA is filed under the name uncultured bacterium. RNAcentral describes it as "partial 16S ribosomal RNA". It matches the Rfam family "Bacterial small subunit ribosomal RNA", at positions 509 to 807 of the family's 1533-position model. The record is from RNAcentral.